This 281-nucleotide ribosomal RNA is filed under the name Paraprevotella clara YIT 11840. RNAcentral's name for it is "partial 16S ribosomal RNA". It matches the Rfam family "Bacterial small subunit ribosomal RNA", at positions 524 to 807 of the family's 1533-position model. The record is from RNAcentral. Lineage: Bacteria; Pseudomonadati; Bacteroidota; Bacteroidia; Bacteroidales; Prevotellaceae.
UACGGAAGAUGCGAGCGUUAUCCGGAUUUAUUGGGUUUAAAGGGAGCGUAGGCGGGCUUUUAAGUCAGCGGUCAAAUGUCACGGCUCAACCGUGGCCAGCCGUUGAAACUGCAAGCCUUGAGUCUGCACAGGGCACAUGGAAUUCGUGGUGUAGCGGUGAAAUGCUUAGAUAUCACGAAGAACUCCGAUCGCGAAGGCAUUGUGCCGGGGCAUAACUGACGCUGAGGCUCGAAAGUGCGGGUAUCAAACAGGAUGAGAUACCCCUGUAGUCCGCUGAGACU